CAGCCGCCACGGGAACACGUAGGGUGCGAGCGUUAAUCGGAAUUACUGGGCGUAAAGCGUGCGCAGGCGGUUUUGUAAGACAGAGGUGAAAUCCCCGGGCUCAACCUGGGAACUGCCUUUGUGACUGCAAGGCUAGAGUACGGCAGAGGGGGAUGGAAUUCCGCGUGUAGCAGUGAAAUGCGUAGAUAUGCGGAGGAACACCGAUGGCGAAGGCAAUCCCCUGGGCCUGUACUGACGCUCAUGCACGAAAGCGUGGGGAGCAAACAGGAUUAGAUACCCCCGUAGUCCCUGUCUCUUAUAC
RNAcentral lists this ribosomal RNA (301 nucleotides) under uncultured bacterium. Its description in RNAcentral is "partial 16S ribosomal RNA". It matches the Rfam family "Bacterial small subunit ribosomal RNA", at positions 509 to 807 of the family's 1533-position model. The record is from RNAcentral.